AUUGAACGCUGGCGGCAGGCCUAACACAUGCAAGUCGAGCGGUAGAGAGGUGCUUGCAUCUCUUGAGAGCGGCGGACGGGUGAGUAAUGCGUAGGAAGCUACCCCGAUAGAGGGGGAUACCAGUUGGAAACGACUGUUAAUACCGCAUAAUGUCUACGGACCAAAGUGUGGGACCUUCGGGCCACAUGCUAUCGGAUGCGCCUACGUGGGAUUAGCUAGUUGUGGGGUAAUGGGCUCACCAAGGCGACGAUCCCUAGCUGGUCUGAGAGGAUGAUCAGCCACAUUGGGACUGAGACACGGUCCCAAAACUCCUACGGGAGGCAGCAGUGGGGAA
This 334-nucleotide ribosomal RNA is filed under the name uncultured bacterium. RNAcentral describes it as "bacterial SSU rRNA". It matches the Rfam family "Bacterial small subunit ribosomal RNA", at positions 30 to 361 of the family's 1533-position model. The record is from RNAcentral.